Molecule: transfer RNA, 87 nt
Filed under: Streptomyces virginiae
Lineage: Bacteria; Bacillati; Actinomycetota; Actinomycetes; Kitasatosporales; Streptomycetaceae
Also listed under: 1 other name
Description: tRNA-Thr
Source: RNAcentral
GACUCUUGGGCGGCUUGGGAGAGCCGGCGCCCUUGUGGGGCGGCCGGCCGGGCCGAUCAGGAGACGGUGUUCCGCGCUGUGCGGUCG